UACGGAGGGUGCAAGCGUUGUUCGGAUUUAUUGGGCGUAAAGCGAGUGUAGGCGGUUUGACAAGUCGGAUGUGAAAUCCCGGGGCCCAACCCUGGAACUGCAUCCGAUACUGUCAGGCUAGAGUCCCGGAGAGGGUGGCGGAAUUCCCGGUGUAGGGGUGAAAUCCGUAGAUAUCGGGAGGAACACCAGUGGCGAAGGCGGCCACCUGGACGGUGACUGACGCUCAGACUCGAAAGCGUGGGUAGCAAACAGG
RNAcentral lists this ribosomal RNA (253 nucleotides) under uncultured bacterium. RNAcentral describes it as "partial 16S ribosomal RNA". It matches the Rfam family "Bacterial small subunit ribosomal RNA", at positions 524 to 776 of the family's 1533-position model. The record is from RNAcentral.